RNAcentral lists this ribosomal RNA (263 nucleotides) under uncultured bacterium. RNAcentral describes it as "partial 16S ribosomal RNA". It matches the Rfam family "Bacterial small subunit ribosomal RNA", at positions 793 to 1055 of the family's 1533-position model. The record is from RNAcentral.
GUCCACGCCGUAAACGAUGUCAACUAGCCGUUGGGAGUCUUGAACUCUUAGUGGCGCAGCUAACGCAUUAAGUUGACCGCCUGGGGAGUACGGCCGCAAGGUUAAAACUCAAAUGAAUUGACGGGGGCCCGCACAAGCGGUGGAGCAUGUGGUUUAAUUCGAAGCAACGCGAAGAACCUUACCAGGCCUUGACAUCCAAUGAACUUUCUAGAGAUAGAUUGGUGCCUUCGGGAGCAUUGAGACAGGUGCUGCAUGGCUGUCGU